This 384-nucleotide unclassified non-coding RNA is filed under the name soil metagenome. RNAcentral's name for it is "partial contains 5.8S ribosomal RNA, internal transcribed spacer 2, and large subunit ribosomal RNA". The stretch from base 1 to 120 matches the Rfam family "5.8S ribosomal RNA", at positions 35 to 154 of the family's 154-position model. The record is from RNAcentral.
GAUGAAGAACGUAGCGAAAUGCGAUAGGUAAUGUGAAUUGCAGAAUUCAGUGAAUCAUCGAAUCUUUGAACGCACAUUGCGCCCUUUGGUAUUCCUUAGGGCAUGCCUGUUCGAGCGUCACUACACACCUUAUCGCAAUAUUUGUGGUCUUGGCAGGAGUGAAUUGCUGGUCUAUGGAAGUAUUCCAGCAGUACACAAUGCUAAAAAAUAUGGGAAGGUUACCAGAUAUGAACAACAGACUUUGUAAAUGGUUGUAGGACCUAGAUCAGUCACAAGUCAUGUCUAGUCCCUUACCUUAAGGACCCCCAUCCUAGAUGAACUAUGGGUUGACCUCGGAUCAGGUAGGAAUACCCGCUGAACUUAAGCAUAUCAAUAAGCGGAGGA